This 253-nucleotide ribosomal RNA is filed under the name uncultured bacterium. RNAcentral's name for it is "partial 16S ribosomal RNA". It matches the Rfam family "Bacterial small subunit ribosomal RNA", at positions 524 to 776 of the family's 1533-position model. The record is from RNAcentral.
UACAGAGGUUGCGAGCGUUGUUCGGAAUUAUUGGGCGUAAAGCGCGUGUAGGCGGGAUGGCAUGUCGAAUGUGAAAGCCCUCGGCUCAACCGAGGAAGUGCGUUCGAAACUACCGUUCUUGAGUAUCGGAGAGGGUGGCGGAAUUCCCGGUGUAGAGGUGAAAUUCGUAGAUAUCGGGAGGAACACCAGUGGCGAAGGCGGCCACCUGGACGAAUACUGACGCUGAGACGCGAAAGCGUGGGGAUCAAACAGG